This 443-nucleotide ribosomal RNA is filed under the name uncultured Oscillospiraceae bacterium. Its description in RNAcentral is "bacterial SSU rRNA". It matches the Rfam family "Bacterial small subunit ribosomal RNA", at positions 338 to 795 of the family's 1533-position model. The record is from RNAcentral. Lineage: Bacteria; Bacillati; Bacillota; Clostridia; Eubacteriales; Oscillospiraceae.
CCUACGGGCGGCUGCAGUGGGGAAUAUUGGGCAAUGGGGGAAACCCUGACCCAGCAACGCCGCGUGAAGGAAGAAGGCUUUCGGGUUGUAAACUUCUUUGACCAGGGACGAAAAAAAUGACGGUACCUGGAAAACAAGCCACGGCUAACUACGUGCCAGCAGCCGCGGUAAUACGUAGGUGGCAAGCGUUGUCCGGAUUUACUGGGUGUAAAGGGCGCGUAGGCGGGAUGGCAAGUCAGAUGUGAAAUGCCGGGGCUUAACCUCGGCACUGCAUUUGAAACUGCUGUUCUUGAGUAUCGGAGAGGCAGGCGGAAUUCCUAGUGUAGCGGUGAAAUGCGUAGAUAUUAGGAGGAACACCAGUGGCGAAGGCGGCCUGCUGGACGACAACUGACGCUGAUGCGCGAAAGCGUGGGGAGCAAACAGGAUUAGAUACCCGGGUAGUC